GGGACGUCGCGCUGAGCCCUGCUUUGGAGUCAGGGGGACUUUCCGCCUCGGUGAACUCGAGAGUAGCAACUCUCCUCCGGGUAACCGGAGUGCCACAGCGGGCAGGCGUCGUAAGGACAGGCUUCGGAGAGGAGAGGGGCUACCCGAGGAUGGCAUCAAACAUAACAUGUGACACAUGGCAGCCAUUUUGGAGAUGGCCAGAUGAGAGGACAAUCAAUCCACAUGCCUAAAUGGAACCGACAGACACGCGCCAGCUUCCUCUCCAGCCUAUGCUCUCAGACACUUGUAGAAGACCAGAGAGAAAAUGGAAUCAGAAAAAACAGCAACAACAACAACAACAAAAAAAAGCCAUCCAGGGCCAUGCACAGUGGCUUGCUCCUGUAAUCCCAACAGUUUGGGAGGCCAAGGCAGGUGGAUUGCUUGAGCUCAGGAGUUCAAGACCAGCCUGGGCAACAUGGCGAAACCCUUUCUCUACUAAAUACAAAAACUAGCUGGGUGUGGUGGCAUGCACCUGUAGUCCCAGCUACUCGGGAGGCUGAGGUGGGAGGAUCACCUGAGCCUGGGAAGUUGAAGCUGCAGUGAGCUGUGAUGGUGCCACUGCACUCCCACCUGGGUGACAGAGCAAGACCCUGUCUCAAAAAAACAAAGCAAAAUAAAACAAAAAAAUCCAGGUGGGAAAACGCUCAAUCAGAGCCAACUCACUGCUGGGAUUAGUGGAAAUGAUUAGUCACCAGAAGGCAAAUCGUGGAAGAAUGAAGAGAUGACAGGACCUCAGGAACUACACCCAGAGGCCAGCUGUGUCAUAGGCAAAGCAUCAUGCAGGUCAUCCCCAAGAAGGGGAGACAGGGUAGAGCUCAGACUCUUCCCUGCUUCCCCAUAAGUCCAGUUUACCCUGGGCUGAUCCUUUCAGCAUGGCAGCCUCCAUGGGGAGGCACGAGAUCCAAAGAUGAAGAUGUCUAUGGGGGUGAAGAAGAAUGGCAAACUUUGCAGGCAAGAGUAGGCAUUAGAGAGAUCAGAGGAGGAAGACAAUAGAGAAGGAUGACACAGGACAGGCUAUAUCUAGAGGAUAUAGUGCCAUGGACUUUGGACUAUUCCAGAGAGGCUGAGAGACCUGUCUCCUGCCUGCAAGGCUCCUUGAACUCUGCACCUUUCUUUUUGCGAAAGUGCUGCUGAGGCCUGUCUCACUUCCCAAUGAAAAGCAACUCAGGAAAUUGGCUUGCUGCCCCACUCCUUCUUUGAGAGAGAGAAACAGAACUGAAGAGGAAGGAAGGAAGCCCAAAGAAAGAGGAUUUCUUUCCUGGCUGAGAUUUGUUGGCACUGCCCACUAACAUAGAGAAUAAGGCGGUUCCCUAAGCGAGCCUUAAGCUGGCAUGAGGCUACAAACAAGUGAUUGUAUCUUCGUUCUGCUCAGCAGCCUACCUGGGCUGGCCUGGACAACCUCAAUUGUAUACUGAGAUCUUAAGCUGGCCAUGGCCCUUGGUAAAGCAGGAGAAAGGAAUAAGGCUGGAAGGUACAGAAUUUGCUUGAUGUCUUGCCUACAUAAUUCCUUUGCUGUUGCAAUUGGCAACUCUUUGCUUGCAUUAUGUGAAAAAAGGAGGUAAAAAAUUGUCAGAAAUGUUUGCCACCAGCCUAACCCCACCGCCCAUGCAUUGCUCCCAAGAAAGCUAAUUAAGGCCCAUUGCUAUUAGAGUUACAUGAUUCUGAAGGCUUGUUAUGACAAGAAAAAAUAAUGAAGACACGGUUCCUCCAAGUCAUAAGCAUCCAAGUCAAAACAUACUGCAUCCCAGCCAAGUGUGGUGGCUCACGCCUGUAAUCCCAGUACUUUGAGAGGCCAAGGCAGGCGGAUCACGAGGUCAGGAGUUCGAGACCAGCCUGGCCAAGAUGAUGAAACCCUGUCUCUACUAAAAAUACAAAAAUUAGCCAUGCGCGGUGGCGGGGGCCUGUACUCCCAGCUACUCAGGAAGCUGAGGCAGGAGAAUUGCUUGAAACCGGGAGGCGGAGGUUGCAGUGAGCCGAGAUCACACCACUGCACUGUACCCUGGGCAACAGAGCAAGACUCCAUCUCAAAAAAAAAAGAAAAAAAAUCCUGCAUCCCUUGUCCCUUUGUGUUCCCCUAGACAAGCCUCUGGGCUGGCUUUGUCUAUCUCAUGCAUGCAGGCAGUCAUCCUCCUUUGGCCGAUGCAUACCUGACUCCUACUCAGUGCCAGGCUGAGACCUGCCCUUGAGGAGCUCUGUUUGCAGGAAGAGAGUGAUAGGCACACAAAUUA
Molecule: long non-coding RNA, 2267 nt
Filed under: Pongo abelii (Sumatran orangutan)
Lineage: Eukaryota; Metazoa; Chordata; Mammalia; Primates; Hominidae
Description: lncRNA (ENSPPYG00000034252.1)
Source: RNAcentral